CAGUAGCCACGGUAAUGCGUAGGUGGCAAGCGUUGUCCGGAAUUAUUGGGCGUAAAGCGCGCGCAGGCGGAUCGGUCAGUCUGUCUUAAAAGUUCGGGGCUUAACCCCGUGAUGGGAUGGAAACUGCCAAUCUAGAGUAUCGGAGAGGAAAGUGGAAUUCCUAGUGUAGCGGUGAAAUGCGUAGAUAUUAGGAAGAACACCAGUGGCGAAGGCGACUUUCUGGACGAAAACUGACGCUGAGGCGCGAAAGCCAGGGGAGCGAACGGGAUUAGAUACCCGCGUAGUCCCUGUCUCUUAUACC
RNAcentral lists this ribosomal RNA (301 nucleotides) under uncultured bacterium. RNAcentral describes it as "partial 16S ribosomal RNA". It matches the Rfam family "Bacterial small subunit ribosomal RNA", at positions 509 to 808 of the family's 1533-position model. The record is from RNAcentral.